CGGAGAGAGAGAGAGACGCACAGAUGUGCACGGAGGCCACAGACACUGACAUUUGGAAUUCCUUCAGGCGGACGGAAUAGACCUCAGCAGCGGCGUGGUGAGGACUUAGCUGGGACCUGGAAUCGUAUCCUCCUGUGUUUUUUCAGACUCCUUGGAAAUUAAGGAAUGCAAUUCUGCCACCAUGAUGGAAGAGAUGUGGCCCAGCCUGGAGUGCAGUGGUGUGAUCCUAGCUCACUGCCACCUUGACUUCCUGGGCUCAAGUGAUUCUUCUGCCUCAGCCUCCAAGUAGCUUGCCAAAACUUGGAAGCAACCAUGAUGUCCUUAGUAGGACUGAAAAAACGUACAAGGAAGGCCUUUGGAAUACGGAAGAAAGAAAAGGACACUGAUUCUACGUAUGUACUUUAGGAGUUUGCCUCCUCGAAGAAGCUACUUGCAUAAGAGAUGCUCUUGUCACAGUCAAUAUAAGAUGGCCACAGUUUUCUCGGAUAUUGUGUACUAUUUGCUUUCCUCAUUUCUGAGUAAAUU
This 525-nucleotide small RNA is filed under the name Pan troglodytes (chimpanzee). RNAcentral's name for it is "processed transcript". Lineage: Eukaryota; Metazoa; Chordata; Mammalia; Primates; Hominidae. The record is from RNAcentral.